This 83-nucleotide ribosomal RNA is filed under the name Erinaceus europaeus (western European hedgehog). Lineage: Eukaryota; Metazoa; Chordata; Mammalia; Eulipotyphla; Erinaceidae. The record is from RNAcentral.
GUCUACAGCUACACCACCCUGAAUGUGCUGAUCCUGUCUGAUCCGGGAAGCUAAGCAAAGUCGGGUCUGGAUAGUUGUUGGUG